ACUAAUAACACCCUAACAACAACACUCUCGCCGAUUCCUCUCUUCUUUCUUGUUCAACUCUAGUCUCUACCUCUCUGAUUCGUGCAACCAUCGUCAUGACUAUCUGUGGCCAACAGAAAGACCGGCGUCGUCACCGGACAACCGGCUCUGGUUCAGCCGAGCUGCAACAACAAGAUGCGCAUCAUUGGUCUGGAGAGUGACAUUAAUGUGUUGAAGGUUGGCAUGGACAAGGUAGACGACAAGUUGGUUGCACAACGACAGUUUUUCUCUCACGUUUUAAAGUCUAUUGGAUUCCUCUACCUCCUACUGCCCCUCCUAUUCCUCCUACUGCUGCUCCUUCUCCUACUUCGGCUGGUUCGUCUACCGCUGUUGGUUCUCCUACUAUGGAUGUCUCUACACCUCCAUUUGUCUCUCAACCUCCAGUUGUCCCUCAACUUACUGCUGUUCCCCGUUCCGUCGCUGUUGCCGCUGCUGCUCCUGCUGCUUGUGGUUCUUAUGAGGAUUGGCGUACUUAACUAGGACUAUAAGAAGUAGUUUGUUUUAGGCCUUUUGAAACCUUUUGGUAAAAUUGUAAACUACUUAACUUAAUUUGCUAAUCUAAUUUUAGGAUUUAAUUUGAAAAUUGUUUAAUUUUAGUUUU
Long non-coding RNA from Capsella rubella, 640 nucleotides. RefSeq lists it as uncharacterized. NCBI's taxonomy places the organism in Eukaryota, Viridiplantae, Streptophyta, Magnoliopsida, Brassicales, Brassicaceae. The transcript has 2 exons. The record is from RefSeq and is a predicted model, not a curated record.